This 75-nucleotide transfer RNA is filed under the name Candidatus Yanofskybacteria bacterium RIFCSPHIGHO2_02_FULL_38_22b. Its description in RNAcentral is "tRNA-Arg". It matches the Rfam family "tRNA". Rfam says of the family: Transfer RNA (tRNA) molecules are approximately 80 nucleotides in length. Their secondary structure includes four short double-helical elements and three loops (D, anti-codon, and T loops). RNAcentral also lists the same sequence under 1 other name. The record is from RNAcentral. Lineage: Bacteria; Candidatus Yanofskyibacteriota.
CUCCCCGUAGUUCAACGGAUAGAACAGCAGCCUUCUAAGCCGCGGAUCGAGGUUCGAUUCCUCGCGGGGAGACUA